GACGAACGCUGGCGGCGUGCUUAACACAUGCAAGUCGAACGGAAAGGCCCUGCUUUUGUGGGGUGCUCGAGUGGCGAACGGGUGAGUAACACGUGAGUAACCUGCCCUUGACUUUGGGAUAACUUCAGGAAACUGGGGCUAAUACCGGAGAGGAGCUCCUGCUGCAUGGUGGGGGUUGGAAAGUUUCGGCGGUUGGGGAUGGACUCGCGGCUUAUCAGCUUGUUGGUGGGGUAGUGGCUUACCAAGGCUUUGACGGGUAGCCGGCCUGAGAGGGUGACCGGCCACAUUGGGCCUGAGAUACGGCCCAGACUCCUACGGGAGGCAGCAGUGGAGAAUCUUGCACAAUGGGCGGAAGCCUGAUGCAGCAACGCCGCGUGCGGGAUGACGGCCUUCGGGUUGUAAACCGCUUUCGCCUGUGACGAAGCGUGAGUGACGGUACUGGGUAAAGAAGCACCGGCUAACUACGUG
This 468-nucleotide ribosomal RNA is filed under the name uncultured bacterium. RNAcentral's name for it is "partial 16S ribosomal RNA". It matches the Rfam family "Bacterial small subunit ribosomal RNA", at positions 28 to 507 of the family's 1533-position model. The record is from RNAcentral.